This is a long non-coding RNA of Pseudomyrmex gracilis, 2280 nucleotides long. RefSeq lists it as uncharacterized. NCBI's taxonomy places the organism in Eukaryota, Metazoa, Arthropoda, Insecta, Hymenoptera, Formicidae. The record is from RefSeq and is a predicted model, not a curated record. The transcript has 8 exons.
UUGCGUUAUAUUGUGUGUGUAAGAAACGUCAGUGGUGUAACAAAAUAAACGUCAACGCUUUUUUAAGGCAACGGAGUCGACAUAAAAAAUGCCACAAAUUUGUUGUUCAAAUCUGUGAUCCGAACGUUUCUCAAUUUGACAUCGAUCUCGGCACGUAAAUCCGAGUGAACAGUGCAACUAGUGACAACUCCUAUCGGAGGAGACGACCAAUUCAUCCCACCUGAGUCCAGCUGACAGAUUCCUGACUCUUGGGCAAAGCGAAUCAAUCACUCAUCUCGACAUUCUACUAUAAACAAUAAGUAAGAAAGAGAUUUCUUAAAAACAUGUCACAACUAGAAGCUUGGAUACGAUUUGUAAAUAAAAUAAAUUGGGAACCUUCAAAAUCUAGCAGAAUUUGUUCUCAACACUUUAGUGAUAAUUGUUUUCUUAAAUCUGGAAUAGAAACUAUAUUAAGGCCAAUUCCAUCUAUACAUGUUGAGAGAUUAAAAUAUGUAAGAAAUUUUAAUCUUGUUAUGCAAAACGUUACCAAUUCUACUAUGUGCAAAUUUCCAGAAGUACGUGACUCAACAACAAAGUAUUUUAAAUCCAUCAACAUACGAUACACCAACAAAAAGGAAUUUGAAGACUCAACUUUUAAAAGAGCGUAGUAUAAAAAAACUUCAAGCAAAACGCGUAAAAAUUUUGAUGCAACAGAACAGACGAUGCAAAAAAGAUUGAAGGAUUUAGUAACUUUGUUAAAAGAUAUGAAAAAUCGAGAAAUGAUUAACAAUGAAAUGGAACAGCUAUUAUACGUCGCUGAGUGCUGAUCGUGGAUGUCCAUGUUGCACAAGUCGUCCCGACCAACACUUUACAAGAGUGAAAACGCGACUGAGAAACAAACGUGUGUAUAAAAAUAGAAGUCAAAUCUACAAAUAACAUAACACUUUAUGAAGUCUUAUCGACAAACGGUAAAUAUGAAUUAUCUAAAUUUUCCGUGUCACACUGUAGAUUAAGUCCGCAGACUUGACUUCUUAUAUGUAGCAUUUCUGAUACCAGUCUUUUGCUGUAAGAUCUCUCAUAAUCCAAUAUUUCUACUCUAUCCCACUCAAAUUCAUUUUGUCCUACAUACGAAGCUUCACAAUCACGACACUUGAUCUUAUAUACUACGGAAGGAUGUGAGAGAAGGGGCAAAGGAUCCUUAAGAACUUUGAUAAAUUUAGUCAAUUUGUCGAGGUUAUAAUAAGCUAAACGCGUAUAUGAGUCAGAAGGAAAUAAUUUUGAAAAUCUCUCCAAAAAUUUAUUAAUUCUAAGGAUGAAAUUAUCAUAAAUGAAGUCCAUCGGAUAGUUGUAGUCAAUUAAUAAAUUAAAAAUAAAGUCAAAAUUUUUGGAAUGGAAUCUAGGAUGUGAUAAAAAGAAGGCUCUGUCCACGAGGCUGAUGAUCGUGCCUCUUUUUUGGCAAAUAGGAUGGUUGGAAAAAUAGUUCAGGAACCAUGAGAGCUAUGUCAUCGACGUAUCUGACAUGUAAAGGUAGACGAAAAGAGAGAGAUCCAAAAAUGGAUGUUUCAAGAUCCUGCAUUACAAUGUCUGCAAGGAUCGGAGAGAGUGGAGAGCCCAUAGGAGCACCAAAGGUCUGUUUGUAAUAUUUGUUAUUAAACAGGAAAAAAGUAGAGUUGAACACCAGAUUGAUUGCUAGAAAAAAUUCUUCUUUAGGUAAACUAGUAUUCUUCUUCAGGUAAACUAUUAUGUGUUAUUAAAUGCCAUCUCUUUUCCAAACCACUAAUUACAAGUUCAAUAAGAAUGUUAGUAAAAAGAGAAACCACGUCGAGUGAAAUAAGCUCAAAAUUUUCAGCAAAAGUUACGUUCGAGAUUAUACUAGCAAGGUGGAAGCUAUUAUAAACAAAACUCGACGGGAGUUGAAGAUUUUUUGAAAUUAGAAGAAGAUUUUGUGUUCAUUAGUGUUUGAUGAAAUAAGUUUAUGUAAGAAAUCCGCCUUGCGGCACCACGUUACGAGUAACAGCGUCUAUCACGCAGUGCGACGAAAAUAACACGUGAUGGAACACGCAUUGUACACGCAAAAAUACCGGCGAAACCGAUCCUGCCGCCGAAAAGCAUGGAAAGAAGCGAGGCACUCUCGUUCGGAACUGCGUUGAGUUUAGACGUAGGGAGUGUCAAGUCGAAUCUUUGGCGUGUCGUUAACCGAUUAGUAUAAUUACUCGGAGUGUUACUUAUGUAGAAUAUCCGAGUCGCGUCGGAUUCAUACUGAUGUAUAGUGGUUUAUUAAAUAAAGGAUAUUCUUGUGAA